Molecule: long non-coding RNA, 903 nt
Organism: Gossypium arboreum
Lineage: Eukaryota; Viridiplantae; Streptophyta; Magnoliopsida; Malvales; Malvaceae
Exons: 3
Source: RefSeq, a predicted model, not a curated record
GCUGUUCUGGCCUUGUCCGGAGUGAUAGGGGCAAAGUCAGAUAUGCUAGUUUGAGAGAAUGCUUCGCUUGGUCCAGCAGGCAGAUUGAAGUCGUAAUCAUAUGGAUUCUGUGGAGGAAUGACAUCUGUAAACAAUUUGCCAGCAAUCCGUAUGUUUCGUUGAGUUGAUAAAUUUACAUGCACAGGAAAGAGCCCAGAAGGUCCACAUCCAGAAUGAUUAUUAAUUCCCACCGAUGCUGCACUUGUAGAUGCAGCUGAGACUGCAGUUGCAAUAGCUGAUAGAUCUACAGAAGAAACAUUGCCGAGUUCAGCUGGAUUCUGUCCGCAUGAGAAGCUCUCACUCCAAACUGAAGCUGCCAUCAAGUUAUUAAAGCUUCCAUUUACUUCCGUGCAACUGCCGGAAUCGGAGCAUGCAACAACUCCUUCAGUUUGAGAUUCCUGAGCAAACCCAAAUGAGCAUCUUUCUGAUUCUAUACAAUUUGCUCCAAAUAUCUGAUUUUCCUGCAACUCAAUAUGGAUCACUGGUCGUUCUUGGCCUUGUUUGCUCAUUCUUUUUGCUCCUUGCUCAAAGUUUCAGCUUGAUUCCGACUUGCCAGAAGAAGACUAGCCGCUGGUCCUUUAAGCACAAUCUUCAUAUCAAAGGCGAGUGCUUGCCUGAAAUUUCCUUUCUGAGGUUGGGUCCUCGAUAACGACGUCUGUGGUCCCCCCUUGUAGUGCAAAGGUGCACGCUUUAGUAAUUGUAGGUUGGUGACGUUUAAUGCAAUUUACUAUACAGUUGUUCUAUGAUUCUCAUCCGGUGGUGGGGAAAGUUCUGAGUGGUAAUGAUGGCUGUAAAAUUCUUUGUUGAUAAGAUUGAUACAUGUGCUGGUUUUCUUUUUAUAUAUUCAUUCAAAAUUUUGCAUGA